AAUAAUUGAAACCAGAAGAAAAAUAUACAUAAUCGGAUUUUUUUCCUUCUUAUUCAUCGUUCAAUUCAAUCACUCGCCGAGUUUUCGUCCGGAUGCUCCGAAUCGUUGCUGUCCAUCCACGCGCCGGCGACCUUCCGUUCUGAUUCUCGGCUGUUAGGUUCUUCAGAGAGAAGGGAGCCUCACAUAGAAAUCAUUUUAUGGUGCACCGAUGAGAAGAACUGAUGUUAUUGGCAGUAGAAGGAGGAGGAUUCUUCUCUGCUUCGGCUUCAGGGUAUACUAAGGGCCUGAGCCUUCUCCUCUUGGGUCAGAGGGAUGAGGAUAAACCCAUGAGAGUAGCUCCGUGGAACCAGUACCAGUUGGUAGACCAAGAAACUGACCGCGAGCUCCAGCUGGCUUCUACAAAGAAUCGCCUCACCCGCGGCUGUGCCUCCUUUGUUUGCUUUGGUCGCACUUCCGCAGGUCUUGAUACUCCGUCUCCUCUUAAAGUGGGCCCUGCCCAGCAGCAUGAAGUCUCUCCAGGACCUUUGGUUUCCAACAAGGGAAAUGAUCCUUCCGCACCACUCGAUGAUGGAAAUGAUAAUAGAAAGCUUACACUUAAAAGUAGCAUAAAGAAGCCGCAAAUUGUUAAACCCGUUCAUGUUGAGGCUGCUAGUGAGCAGGAAGCAGCAGGUGGACAGGGGAUUUGUGCUCCUGGUGGUCAAGCAGAAAGAAGGAAAGUGCAGUGGACUGAUAACUGUGGUAGCGAGCUUGUUGAAAUUCGAGAAUUUGAGCCCAGUGAAGUGGAUGGAUCGGAUGAUGAAUUUGAUAGUGGAAACGACAGAACUUGUUCAUGUACGAUUAUGUAAAUUGGAGUUUCAUUAAGUUGAUAGGUUCGUCGGGGUCAUUCACUGUACACAACCCAUCACUCGGUUUUUCAGUUUCCGUGGAGAUAUGUUCAACCAACACCUUGCCUAAGUGAUGUGUUUGUCAUUGCUCGCUGCGGCUUUAAAUUUUGUUCCUCUGCUCAGCAUCAAUUUGUAUCAUUCUUGUAUGUGUGAAUUCUUUGCCUUUGAUUCAUCAUUUUUAUGCUACUUUAUGUUCUUAUUUUUAUAUGGAUUAACCAAGUUUUCUUUCUA
Molecule: RNA transcript, 1115 nt
Organism: Vigna angularis (adzuki bean)
Lineage: Eukaryota; Viridiplantae; Streptophyta; Magnoliopsida; Fabales; Fabaceae
Exons: 3
Source: RefSeq, a predicted model, not a curated record